CCAGUUGGACCUGAAAAUACAUUGCCUGGAGUCAGUUGUUCCUGAGCCACUUCUGAUAGCAACAGCUGUCGAGUGGGGCUGAAAGACGAAGGCCUGGUUCCUCUGUGACUUGGAAGUUCUACCACCACAUCAGUGUCACAGUACCUAGGACUCUGUGGGACUUUGGGCACCAGAUCCCUUUCUCCAGGGGACAGAGAGAGGCGUCCACUGCUCCUACUGCAGGAAAUGUUAUUCCAGUUCAUGACUGUGCUAGCUGGCUGCCGUGAGAUCCCUGGGAACGACGUG
RNAcentral lists this long non-coding RNA (285 nucleotides) under Equus caballus (horse). Its description in RNAcentral is "lncRNA (ENSECAG00000058401.1)". The record is from RNAcentral. Lineage: Eukaryota; Metazoa; Chordata; Mammalia; Perissodactyla; Equidae.